CCUUUACACUGCACGCAAGUGCGAUAAGGGGACUCCGAGUGUGUGGGCAUAGAGCCCACGCUUUUGUGUACCGUAAGGUGGUACACGAAUAAGAGCUGGGCAAGACCGGUGCCAGCCGCCGCGGUAAUACCGGCAGCUCAAGUGAUGGCCGAUUUUAUUGGGCCUAAAGCGUCCGUAGCCGGCCGGGCAAGUCCGUUGGGAAAUCUGUCAGCUUAACGAACAGGCGUCCAGCGGAAACUGCUCGGCUUGGGACCGAAAGACCUGAGGGGUACGUCCGGGGUAGGAGUGAAAUCCUGUAAUCCUGGACGGACCGCCGAUGGGGUUAGCACCUCAGGAGGACGGAUCCGACGGUGAGGGAAGAAAGCCAGGGUCUCGAACAUGAUUAGAUAACCACG
RNAcentral lists this ribosomal RNA (395 nucleotides) under uncultured archaeon. RNAcentral's name for it is "bacterial SSU rRNA". It matches the Rfam family "Archaeal small subunit ribosomal RNA", at positions 347 to 741 of the family's 1478-position model. The record is from RNAcentral.